Long non-coding RNA from Cydia amplana, 303 nucleotides. RefSeq lists it as uncharacterized. NCBI's taxonomy places the organism in Eukaryota, Metazoa, Arthropoda, Insecta, Lepidoptera, Tortricidae. The transcript has 3 exons. The record is from RefSeq and is a predicted model, not a curated record.
GACGUGCGAGAGGUGUUUGACGAUGUCGACCCAGUCCCUAAGGUGAGUGUUACGCGGUAGGUGUGUGCGGGACGUGCGAGAGGUGUUUGACGAUGUCGACCCAGUCCCUGAGGUGAGUGUUACGCGGUAGGUGUGUGCGGGACGUGCGAGAGGUGUUUGACGAUGUCGACCCAGUCCCUAAGGUGAGUGUUACGCGGUAGGUGUGUGCGGGACGUGCGAGAGGUGUUUGACGAUGUCGACCCAGUCCCUGAGGUGAGUGUUACGCGGUAGGUGUGUGCGGGACGUGCGAGAGGUGUUUGACGA